AUGACCUGCUUUAACUGUAGUUGGCCGGGGCACUAUGUGGGGAACUGCAUUGAGCCGAAGAAGUGCUUUAUCUGCGCGGGAGGUCAUAAUGUCAACAAUUGCGCUGCCUGGGCAAAGCCACAUCCUACAGCGACCUACUUUGGUAGCGCAGCGGCUGGCCUGGGGUUAUACCAUAUUGAUGUACCCACUGCUUCAGAACUAAGUUGGCUUAACUACAAGAAUUGUGUAGUUCUCAAAGUGGUUAAGGGUGAGGUUUCUGCCUCAGAGUUGCUGAUUCAGCUCAAUGGAAUUUUUUGCAAAAACAAAGAGUGGCCUUGGCAGAUUAGGGACCUGGGAGAGAAGAAAUUCUUGCUGAGAUUUCCACCUUGGAAAAAUGUUGAAGACCUAAUUGAGUUUCCUGCAUUCGAGCUCCCAAUUGAUGGUGUCUUUGUCAAGAUCUGCGAAUGGGUUGGAAUGCUAGAUGAAUUUGGAGGACUUACUGAGGCCUGGGUUCAAAUUGAGGGGAUUCCUCCAAAGUGGUGUGCAUGGAAGGUGUUUGCCCAGAUUACAGCUUGCUUUGGGAUCCUGGUAGAUGUUGACUGGAAUGGUAUAUUUAAGAGCUUCUAUGAGAAUAUCAGAGUGAAAGUGGCUUGUAGAGACCCCAGGAAAAUUCCAUUUGAGAGAUUAGUUGAAAUGAAAAGGAAGUUAUACAUUCUGUUCUUCACUGUUGAAGGGUUUGAA
Molecule: ribosomal RNA, 720 nt
Filed under: Triticum aestivum (bread wheat)
Lineage: Eukaryota; Viridiplantae; Streptophyta; Magnoliopsida; Poales; Poaceae
Description: partial small subunit ribosomal RNA
Source: RNAcentral